UGCCCAGAAGUUUCAAGAUCUGACCUUGGAGAGACCAGGUCCGGGAGGCUGCCGGGAAGUCUCCAUCACACCGGCCUCAGCCGAGUCACAGGAACGCAGGCUCUGCCAUGCCCAGAAGCCUGAGAUGCAACUUCAAGGACAACGGGAGCCAGAACGCUUGACCUCACACGGAAGGUGACUCCUAACCACCACCACACUUGACGUAGCACCAGCACACGGAGAUUAGGCCUACACCAAUGGCUAAUUGAGACCAUGCAUCACUAUUAAGGCAUCUUCAGCAAAAGGAACUAUGGAAGUUCUGCAUGAAACAUAGACACCUGUUAGAAAAGGAACUAAAUUUCAAACCGGGAAUGUGGUGUUGAAUCACAGCAAAGUGUCCAGAAGGAACUCCCAAAGUACUGUUUUCCAAAAUAUAGAAUGAUAUAGAAGAUUGUUUUAGGUGGAAUUCCUGGAAAUAAAUUUUUAAAUGUU
Molecule: long non-coding RNA, 471 nt
Filed under: Homo sapiens (human)
Lineage: Eukaryota; Metazoa; Chordata; Mammalia; Primates; Hominidae
Description: non-protein coding LINC01100:3
Source: RNAcentral